This 64-nucleotide transfer RNA is filed under the name Hopliini sp. DA-2011. RNAcentral's name for it is "tRNA-Leu". Lineage: Eukaryota; Metazoa; Arthropoda; Insecta; Coleoptera; Scarabaeidae. The record is from RNAcentral.
UUACUUUGGCAGAUUAGUGCUUUAAAUUUAGAAUUUAAAAAUGUAUGAUUAUUACAGGUAAUAU